CACACGACCGUACCGCAAACCGACACUGGUGCGCGAGAUGAGUAUUCUAAGGCGCUUGAGAGAACUCAGGAGAAGGAACUCGGCAAAUUGACACCGUAACUUCGGAAGAAGGUGUGCCUUUAGUAGGUGAACCAUUUACUUGGGGAGCCCAAUGAGGCUGCAAAAAAUCGGUGGCUGCAACUGUUUAUUAAAAACACAGCACUCUGCUAAGACGAAAGUCGACGUAUAGGGUGUGACGCCUGCCCGGUGCUGGAAGAUUAAAUGAUGGGGUGCAAGCUCUUGAUUGAAGUCCCAGUAAACGGCGGCCGUAACGAUAACGGUCCUAAGGUAGCGAAAUUCCUUGUCGGGUAAGUUCCGACCUGCACGAAUGGCGUAAUGAUGGCCACACUGUCUCCUCCUGAGACUCAGCGAAGUUGAAAUGUUUGUGAUGAUGCAAUCUCCCCGCGGAAAGACGGAAAGACCCCAUGAACCUUUACUGUAGCUUUGUAUUGGACUUUGAACAGAUCUGUGUAGGAUAGGUGGGAGGCUUUGAAGUGUGGUCGCUAGAUCGCAUGGAGCCAACUUGAAAUACCACCCUGGUGUGUUUGAGGUUCUAACCUAGGUCCAUUAUCUGGAUCGGGGACAGUGCAUGGUAGGCAGUUUGACUGGGGCGGUCUCCUCCCAAAGUGUAACGGAGGAGUUCGAAGGUACGCUAGGUACGGUCGGACAUCGUGCUAAUAGUGCAAUGGCAUAAGCGUGCUUAACUGCGAGACUGACAAGUCGAGCAGAUGCGAAAGCAGGACAUAGUGAUCCGGUGGUUCUGUAUGGAAGGGCCAUCGCUCAACGGAUAAAAGGUACUCUGGGGAUAACAGGCUGAUACCGCCCAAGAGUUCAUAUCGACGGCGGUGUUUGGCACCUCGAUGUCGGCUCAUCUCAUCCUGGGGCUGUAGCCGGUCCCAAGGGUAUGGCUGUUCGCCAUUUAAAGAGGUACGUGAGCUGGGUUUAAAACGUCGUGAGACAGUUUGGUCCCUAUCUUCCGUGGGCGCUGCAGAUUUGAGGAAGCCUGCUCCUAGUACGAGAGGACCGGAGUGGACGAACCUCUGGUGUAUCGGUUGUCACGCCAGUGGCAUUGCCGAGUAGCUAAGUUCGGAAGAGAUAACCGCUGAAAGCAUCUAAGCGGGAAACUCGUUUCAAGAUUAGAUCUGCCGGGGCCUUGAGCCCCCUAAAGAGUCGUUCAAGACCAGGACGUUGAUAGGUCAGGUGUGGAAGCCAA
Molecule: ribosomal RNA, 1252 nt
Filed under: metagenome
Description: bacterial LSU rRNA
Rfam family: Bacterial large subunit ribosomal RNA
Source: RNAcentral